CCCUUAGAUGUUCUGGGCCGCACGCGCGCUACACUGUUUGAUUCAGCGAGUCUUAACCUUGACCGAAAGGUUUGGGUAAUCUUCUAAAGUCAAACGUGAUGGGGAUCGAUCAUUGCAAUUAUUUAUCGUGAACGAGGAAUUCCUAGUAAAUGCAAGUCAUCAGCUUGCGUUGAUUACGUCCCUGCCCUUUGUACACACCGCCCGUCGCUACUACCGAUUGAAUGGUUUAGUGAGAUCUCCGGAUUGGCUCUGUAGGUCCCGCAAGGGAUUUAUUAGUAGCCAAGAAGCUGCUCAAACUUGAUCAUUUAGAGGAAGUAAAAGUCGUAACA
RNAcentral lists this ribosomal RNA (329 nucleotides) under uncultured eukaryote. RNAcentral's name for it is "partial 18S ribosomal RNA". It matches the Rfam family "Eukaryotic small subunit ribosomal RNA", at positions 1470 to 1796 of the family's 1831-position model. The record is from RNAcentral.